Molecule: ribosomal RNA, 499 nt
Filed under: uncultured Glomus
Lineage: Eukaryota; Fungi; Glomeromycota; Glomeromycetes; Glomerales; Glomeraceae
Description: SSU rRNA
Rfam family: Eukaryotic small subunit ribosomal RNA
Source: RNAcentral
CCAAUAGCGUAUAUUAAAGUUGUUGCAGUUAAAAAGCUCGUAGUUGAAUUUCGAGAUCAAUUUGUUGGUCGUGCCUCGGUACGUACUGGCAAUUUUGAUUUCUCCCUUCUGAAGAACCAUGAUGUCAUUAAUUUGGUGUCAUGGGGAAUCAGGACCGUUACUUUGAAAAAAUUAGAGUGUUUAAAGCAGGCUCGCGCUUGAAUACAUUAGCAUGGAAUAAUGAAAUAGGACGUUUGAUUCUAUUUUGUUGGUUUCUAGGAUCGACGUAAUGAUUAAUAGGGAUAGUUGGGGGCAUUAGUAUGUAAUUGUCAGAGGUGAAAUUCUUGGAUUUAUUGAAGACUAACUACUGCGAAAGCAUUUGCCAAGGAUGUUUUCAUUAAUCAAGAACGAAAGUUAGGGGAUCGAAGACGAUCAGAUACCGUCGUAGUCUUAACCAUAAACUAUGCCGACUAGGGAUCGGAUGAUGUUAAUUUUUUAAUGACUCAUUCGGCGCCUUACG